This 392-nucleotide ribosomal RNA is filed under the name uncultured bacterium. RNAcentral describes it as "partial 16S ribosomal RNA". It matches the Rfam family "Bacterial small subunit ribosomal RNA", at positions 523 to 918 of the family's 1533-position model. The record is from RNAcentral.
AUACGUAGGAAGCAAGCGUUAUCCGGAAUUAUUGGGCGUAAAGAGGGAGCAGGCGGCAGCAAGGGUCUGUGGUGAAAGCCUGAAGCUUAACUUCAGUAAGCCAUAGAAACCAGGCAGCUAGAGUGCAGGAGAGGAUCGUGGAAUUCCAUGUGUAGCGGUGAAAUGCGUAGAUAUAUGGAGGAACACCAGUGGCGAAGGCGACGAUCUGGCCUGCAACUGACGCUCAGUCCCGAAAGCGUGGGGAGCAAAUAGGAUUAGAUACCCUAGUAGUCCACGCCGUAAACGAUGAGUACUAAGUGUUGGAUGUCAAAGUUCAGUGCUGCAGUUAACGCAAUAAGUACUCCGCCUGAGUAGUACGUUCGCAAGAAUGAAACUCAAAGGAAUUGACGGGG